This is a non-coding RNA of Drosophila melanogaster (fruit fly), 1215 nucleotides long. NCBI's taxonomy places the organism in Eukaryota, Metazoa, Arthropoda, Insecta, Diptera, Drosophilidae. The record is from Ensembl.
AGUAAACAGAUCCUGGAGCAGAACAUUACCAGAAUCGUAACCAAAAUCGGGAGGCCGUGGCCUAAACCACUGGCCCUAAUUGGGCGUGAACAUAGAGGGCAUAAUACGCGGCCGAAAUGCGGACUUCAAUUUUGAUAAGAAGCUCCGAGCUGGAACUGCGAAAUUUGCAAUUAGCCCCCGUCGAAAAUGAAAUGGCCAAGCAAAUUGUCAAAGAGCCGGUGAAAUUGUUUACAAACCAAUUACAAAACUGCGAGCCGCAGACAAUGGCAGCACAGAUUUCCAGCUAUCUGACCUUUGAACCCGGCAACUCAACUCAGCUCAACUUCUAGAGCCUUCCGGCACAGCUGCUUGAAAGUAAAAUCCAGCGAACCGCCAAAAAUUUCGUUAUCUUAAUGAGUCUAAACGUUAAUCAGGCAAAGCAAAGCCAUCGACGGAGCGCGGCAGGAUGCGGAGGAAAUGGUAGCCAUUUCGUGCUGGUCACCUCACUUGGCCAGUGGGCCAAACAGAAAACGAAAAACCAAAAAUAAAAAACGGCGGAAGCCAAAUUUGCCGGCUGCGGCAAACGGAAGUCGCAGAGUCGGGCUACAGUCGAAAGUCCGAAGCGGUACGGAUGCAUAUUAAAUUAAUAAUUUGACCCAUCCUGUGACUCCGAGUGCCACAAGCUAGCAAAUUCGGCCAAAAAGGAGACUGGGCUAAUUUCUGCAUCCGCCGACGAGAUUUUUGUUUGCUGAUUGCGACAAGGACAACACGGUGGCGGAGGGGCCAUGUUGCGCUAAUGUUUCACCCGAGACCGGGUACCCAGGAUUCAGAACUGGGUUCCCCAGCACCCAGAAACCGAGAGAUAAACAAUUAAAAACUUUCGCAAUUUGCGGUAAUUCCACUCUUAACCCCUUUGGACGCCAAGUGCGCAUAACAAGUAGUUGUAGCAUGGGAUUGUGGUACUUUCACCGAGUUUACAGAGAACAAAUUCGGGCCAAGAAGAAAAAUGUGUUCAUAAACUUAUGCGACAGGCGACAAGUUUUCUCUGAGUGCACCUGAUAAGACGCCCCAUUUGAUAUCUUAUCUUUUGUAGCUGCCAGACUGAUAAUGCAUGAGAUCUUAACCCGUUUUCAGUUGGGUGCAACAUGUAAUUUUGUUUGUUUUGCGCACGUUUUAACUUAUCAAUCAGAAUGGUGUGCAAAAAUAUUCACUACUAUAUAUACAAAAGGCACGAUC